AUGCACGCUGGCGGCGUGCCUAAUACCUGCAAGUCGCGCGAACAGAUAAGGAGCUUGCUCCUUUGACGUUAGCGGCGGACGGGUGAGUAACACGUGGGUAACCUACCUAUAAGACUGGGAUAACUUCGGGAAACCGGAGCUAAUACCGGAUAACAUUUGGAACCGCAUGGUUCUAAAGUGAAAGAUGGUUUUGCUAUCACUUAUAGAUGGACCCGCGCCGUAUUAGCUAGUUGGUUAGGUAACGGCUUACCAAGGCGACGAUACGUAGCCGACCUGAGAGGGUGAUCGGCCACACUGGAACUGAGACACGGUCCAGACUCCUACGGGAGGCAGCAGUAGGGAAUCUUCCGCAAUGGGCGAAAGCCUGACGGAGCAACGCCGCGUGAGUGAUGAAGGGUUUCGGCUCGUAAAACUCUGUUAUUAGGGAAGAACAAACGUGUAAGUAACUGUGCACGUCUUGACGGUACCUAAUCAGAAAGCCACGGCUAACUACGUG
This 496-nucleotide ribosomal RNA is filed under the name uncultured bacterium. RNAcentral describes it as "partial 16S ribosomal RNA". It matches the Rfam family "Bacterial small subunit ribosomal RNA", at positions 29 to 507 of the family's 1533-position model. The record is from RNAcentral.